This 475-nucleotide ribosomal RNA is filed under the name uncultured soil bacterium. RNAcentral's name for it is "bacterial SSU rRNA". It matches the Rfam family "Bacterial small subunit ribosomal RNA", at positions 8 to 496 of the family's 1533-position model. The record is from RNAcentral.
AGAGUUUGAUCCUGGCUCAGAAUCAACGCUGGCGGCGUGCCUCAGACAUGCAAGUCGAAUGAUUAAAGCUCCCUUCGGGGAGUGCAUAAAGUGGCGCACGGGUGAGUAACACGUAAGUAAUCUACCUUCGAGUGGGGAAUAACCCGGGGAAACCCGAGCUAAUACCGCAUAACGCAGCGGCAUCGCAAGAUGACAGUUGUUAAAGGAGCAAUCCGCUUGAAGAGGAGCUUGCGGCAGAUUAGCUAGUUGGUAAGGUAAUGGCUUACCAAGGCUACGAUCUGUAUCCGGUCUAAGAGGACGGUCGGACACACUGACACUGAAUAACGGGUCAGACUCCUACGGGAGGCAGCAGUCGGGAAUUUUGGGCAAUGGGGGAAACCCUGACCCAGCAACGCCGCGUGAAGGAUGAAGUAUUUCGGUAUGUAAACUUCGAAAGAAUGGGAAGAAUAAAUGACGGUACCAUUAUAAGUCCCGC